This 513-nucleotide ribosomal RNA is filed under the name Candida albicans. RNAcentral's name for it is "eukaryotic LSU rRNA". The stretch from base 144 to 297 matches the Rfam family "5.8S ribosomal RNA". The record is from RNAcentral. Lineage: Eukaryota; Fungi; Ascomycota; Pichiomycetes; Serinales; Debaryomycetaceae.
GUGCUCUGAUUUGCUUAUUGCACCACAUGUGUUUUUCUUUGAAACAAACUUGCUUUGGCGGUGGGCCCAGCCUGCCGCCAGAGGUCUAAACUUACAACCAAUUUUUUAUCAACUUGUCACACCAGAUUAUUACUAAUAGUCAAAACUUUCAACAACGGAUCUCUUGGUUCUCGCAUCGAUGAAGAACGCAGCGAAAUGCGAUACGUAAUAUGAAUUGCAGAUAUUCGUGAAUCAUCGAAUCUUUGAACGCACAUUGCGCCCUCUGGUAUUCCGGAGGGCAUGCCUGUUUGAGCGUCGUUUCUCCCUCAAACCGCUGGGUUUGGUGUUGAGCAAUACGACUUGGGUUUGCUUGAAAGACGGUAGUGGUAAGGCGGGAUCGCUUUGACAAUGGCUUAGGUCUAACCAAAAACAUUGCUUGCGGCGGUAACGUCUACCACGUAUAUCUUCAAACUUUGACCUCAAAUCAGGUAGGACUACCCGCUGAACUUAAGCAUAUCAAUAAGCGGGAGGAAA